Pseudoliparis swirei is the source of this 948-nucleotide long non-coding RNA. RefSeq lists it as uncharacterized. The record is from RefSeq and is a predicted model, not a curated record. The transcript is spliced from 3 exons. Lineage: Eukaryota; Metazoa; Chordata; Actinopteri; Perciformes; Liparidae.
GCGCGCUGCUCUCUCCUGCGUCAGUGACUCACUAAAAGCCACAGAAAGAACGACAGCUUCCUGACAUGGCAUCUCUUCUUGAGACAUUGUAAUCCAACUUGGAUGGAACAACUUCGUGACCUUAAUGACACCCAGCAACACGGUGAGAUUAUAAUCCAUUUAAAUGCCAGAAGCAAGCAAUUAUUUGUUUUUAAGAUGUUUUUUUCUUUAUUUGUGUUAGAGCUAGAGAGACACACAAGCACCACAGGGGAGGAUCUGCAGCAAAGGGACCACCGGAAAUCAAACCUUGGCCGCUAUGAUGACGACAACAUGGGGCACUUAAGUGUGAAUCUAGCCUUUUCAUUUUUAUUUACAACAUUAGCAUUGAAAAGAGCAAAAGUUGAUGCUUGAGAUGAUUUUGUUUUUACUGAAGAGGAUGUACGUCUUCCCCUUGUCCUUUAUCCCCUUACUCUUUCUUUUUAGGUGUGAUUACGACUACCAGCAUGGACCUCAACACCUUCUUUGCUGUUCCACUAGUGUGACCCAUGAUCGGAUCCAAGUUGUCAAGGAUAAACGGGAAGAUCAUGUCCGCCCACAGACAACCGGUUGACCUGUAAGUCUUCAAGCAGUAAUGAUGACUACGCCUUAAGUUCCAGUUUCCUGAACAUCAUGUCGGCAUGAGAUUCUGUCCCCACCUGUCUUCAGUCUGGACCCAAUGAGUUGUUUUUUUACAGGGGGUUUCAGUCACAUGGUUUAUUUCGAGGCUUUGUCUGAGUUUCAGUGCUGCAGUUAUUUACCAUUCAGGUGUGUUCAGAAAAAUCCAAUUUGUCAUACUCAUUUGAAGGGCUUGCUGCAGUGAUUCUUUUGUGUACACCAGGAUUUCUUUGUAUUUUGGCAUUUUACACAAAUGUUUUUGAAAGAUGGUCAACAAAGUUGCACAAAUAAAUGUUUACAUGCUGCUUUCCUAAA